GAUGAAGAACGUAGCGAAAUGCGAUAAGUAAUGUGAAUUGCAGAAUUCAGUGAAUAAUCGAAUCUUUGAACGCACAUUGCGCCCGCCAGUAUUCUGGCGGGCAUGCCUGUUCGAGCGUCAUUUCAACCAUCAAGCCCCCGGCUUGUGUUGGGGACCUGCGGCUGCCGCAGGCCCUGAAAACCAGUGGCGGGCUCGCUAGUCACUCCGAGCGUAGUAAUACAUCUCGCUCAGGGCGUGCUGCGGGUUCCGGCCGUUAAAAAGCCUUAUUUACCCAAGGUUGACCUCGGAUCAGGUAGGAAGACCCGCUGAACUUAAGCAUAUCAAUAAGCGGAGGA
This 335-nucleotide unclassified non-coding RNA is filed under the name soil metagenome. Its description in RNAcentral is "partial contains 5.8S ribosomal RNA, internal transcribed spacer 2, and large subunit ribosomal RNA". The stretch from base 1 to 120 matches the Rfam family "5.8S ribosomal RNA", at positions 35 to 154 of the family's 154-position model. The record is from RNAcentral.